GAACGCUGGCGGCGUGCCUAACACAUGCAAGUCGAGCGGUAACAGGUGUAGCAAUACAUGCUGACGAGCGGCGGACGGGUGAGUAACGCUUGGGAAUCUGCCUAUUAGUGGGGGAUAACUCGGGGAAACUCGAGCUAAUACCGCAUACGCACUACGGUGGAAAGCUGGGGACCGCAAGGCCUGGCGCUAAUAGAUGAGCCCAAGUCGGAUUAGCUAGUUGGUAGGGUAAUGGCCUACCAAGGCGACGAUCCGUAACUGGUCUGAGAGGACGACCAGUCACACCGGAACUGAGACACGGUCCGGACUCCUACGGGAGGCAGCAGUGGGGAAUAUUGGACAAUGGGCGAAAGCCUGAUCCAGCGACGCCGCGUGGGUGAAGAAGGCCUGCGGGUUGUAAAGCCCUUUCAGUGGGGAAGAAAAGCCUCGAGUGAAUACCUCGGGGUCUUGACGUAACCCAUAGAAGAAGCACCGGCUAACUCUGUGCCAGCAGCCGCGGUAAUACAGAGGGUGCGAGCGUUAAUCGGAAUUACUGGGCGUAAAGCGCGCGUAGGCGGCUUUGCAAGUCGGAUGUGAAAUCCCCGGGCUCAACCUGGGAACUGCAUUCGAGACUGCAUUGCUAGAGUAUGGGAGAGGGAAGUGGAAUUUCAGGUGUAGCGGUGAAAUGCGUAGAUAUCUGAAGGAACAUCAGUGGCGAAAGCGACUUCCUGGACCAAUACUGACGCUCAUGUGCGAAAGCGUGGGGAGCAAACAGGAUUAGAUACCCUGGUAGUCCACGCCAUAAACGAUGAGAACUGGAUGUCGGGAGGGUUCUGCCUCUCGGUGUCGUAGCUAACGCGUUAAGUUCUCCGCCUGGGGAGUACGGCCGCAAGGU
RNAcentral lists this ribosomal RNA (871 nucleotides) under uncultured bacterium. RNAcentral describes it as "bacterial SSU rRNA". It matches the Rfam family "Bacterial small subunit ribosomal RNA", at positions 31 to 894 of the family's 1533-position model. The record is from RNAcentral.